UACGGGGGGGGCAAGCGUUGUUCGGAAUUACUGGGCGUAAAGGGCUCGUAGGUGGCCAACUAAGUCGGACGUGAAAUCCCUCGGCUCAACCGAGGAACUGCGUCUGAUACUGGAAGGCUUGAAUCCGGGAGAGGGAUGUGGAAUUCCAGGUGUAGCGGUGAAAUGCGUAGAUAUCUGGAGGAACACCGGUGGCGAAGGCGGCAUCCUGGACCGGUAUUGACGCUGAGGCGCGAAAGCUAGGGGAGCAAACGGG
Molecule: ribosomal RNA, 253 nt
Filed under: uncultured bacterium
Lineage: Bacteria
Description: partial 16S ribosomal RNA
Rfam family: Bacterial small subunit ribosomal RNA
Source: RNAcentral